AACUGCUCUUUAACAAUUUAUCAGACAAUCUGUGUGGGCACUCAAAGUGACAUGGAUUCUUAACGUCCUCGGACGAAAAAUGAAUACCAAGUCUCAAGAGUGAACACGUAAUUCAUUACGAAGUUUAAUUCUUUGAGCAUCAAACUUAAAUUGAAGAGUUUGAUCAUGGCUCAGAUUGAACGCUGGCGGCAGGCCUAACACAUGCAAGUCGAGCGGUAGCACAGAGAGCUUGCUCUCGGGUGACGAGCGGCGGACGGGUGAGUAAUGUCUGGGAAACUGCCUGAUGGAGGGGGAUAACUACUGGAAACGGUAGCUAAUACCGCAUAAUGUCGCAAGACCAAAGUGGGGGACCUUCGGGCCUCAUGCCAUCAGAUGUGCCCAGAUGGGAUUAGCUUGUAGGUGGGGUAACGGCUCACCUAGGCGACGAUCCCUAGCUGGUCUGAGAGGAUGACCAGCCACACUGGAACUGAGACACGGUCCAGACUCCUACGGGAGGCAGCAGUGGGGAAUAUUGCACAAUGGGCGCAAGCCUGAUGCAGCCAUGCCGCGUGUGUGAAGAAGGCCUUCGGGUUGUAAAGCACUUUCAGCGGGGAGGAAGGCGGUGAGGUUAAUAACCUCAUCGAUUGACGUUACCCGCAGAAGAAGCACCGGCUAACUCCGUGCCAGCAGCCGCGGUAAUACGGAGGGUGCAAGCGUUAAUCGGAAUUACUGGGCGUAAAGCGCACGCAGGCGGUCUGUCAAGUCGGAUGUGAAAUCCCCGGGCUCAACCUGGGAACUGCAUUCGAAACUGGCAGGCUAGAGUCUUGUAGAGGGGGGUAGAAUUCCAGGUGUAGCGGUGAAAUGCGUAGAGAUCUGGAGGAAUACCGGUGGCGAAGGCGGCCCCCUGGACAAAGACUGACGCUCAGGUGCGAAAGCGUGGGGAGCAAACAGGAUUAGAUACCCUGGUAGUCCACGCCGUAAACGAUGUCGAUUUGGAGGUUGUGCCCUUGAGGCGUGGCUUCCGGAGCUAACGCGUUAAAUCGACCGCCUGGGGAGUACGGCCGCAAGGUUAAAACUCAAAUGAAUUGACGGGGGCCCGCACAAGCGGUGGAGCAUGUGGUUUAAUUCGAUGCAACGCGAAGAACCUUACCUGGUCUUGACAUCCACAGAACUUAGCAGAGAUGCUUUGGUGCCUUCGGGAACUGUGAGACAGGUGCUGCAUGGCUGUCGUCAGCUCGUGUUGUGAAAUGUUGGGUUAAGUCCCGCAACGAGCGCAACCCUUAUCCUUUGUUGCCAGCGGUCCGGCCGGGAACUCAAAGGAGACUGCCAGUGAUAAACUGGAGGAAGGUGGGGAUGACGUCAAGUCAUCAUGGCCCUUACGACCAGGGCUACACACGUGCUACAAUGGCAUAUACAAAGAGAAGCGACCUCGCGAGAGCAAGCGGACCUCAUAAAGUAUGUCGUAGUCCGGAUUGGAGUCUGCAACUCGACUCCAUGAAGUCGGAAUCGCUAGUAAUCGUAGAUCAGAAUGCUACGGUGAAUACGUUCCCGGGCCUUGUACACACCGCCCGUCACACCAUGGGAGUGGGUUGCAAAAGAAGUAGGUAGCUUAACCUUCGGGAGGGCGCUUACCACUUUGUGAUUCAUGACUGGGGUGAAGUCGUAACAAGGUAACCGUAGGGGAACCUGCGGUUGGAUCACCUCCUUA
This 1687-nucleotide ribosomal RNA is filed under the name Klebsiella pneumoniae subsp. pneumoniae. RNAcentral describes it as "16S ribosomal RNA". It matches the Rfam family "Bacterial small subunit ribosomal RNA". The record is from RNAcentral. Lineage: Bacteria; Pseudomonadati; Pseudomonadota; Gammaproteobacteria; Enterobacterales; Enterobacteriaceae.